UUGAACUGCGAACCCUGAGAAUUCAACUGGUGAGUGUGGUAUGAGCUUGGCAUAAUGGUUGGCUCUGCGGGUCUGCUUAGCUGCAGGUCUUCACCUUUUGGUGGAGAUGCGCGAUACACUUGUCAAGUGGUGCGCGCUCGUUGGGUAACUCGGACAUGCUUGCCAGUGCACUUUCUCGGGGUGUUCACCACGACCGGCGCCGCUACUUGUCUAAUAUGGUUAAACCGGUCUUGCUUGGUCCUUGUGGCUUUGCUUGAUCGGGAUGGCAGGUAACUCGUUGACUUGUAUGUCGGCUACGGUUGACAUGCGCUUGGUUUUCGAGUGUAAUCAGCUGACCGUAUUGGUGCUAUGUAGUGCGUCGGAGACGGCGGCUUGUGGUGUGUGCCUGCGUGCCUAUUUGCUGACGGAACCGGGUUUGGUUAUUAUGUUGCCUGUUCUG
Molecule: ribosomal RNA, 439 nt
Filed under: Tristriata anatis
Lineage: Eukaryota; Metazoa; Platyhelminthes; Trematoda; Plagiorchiida; Notocotylidae
Description: partial 28S ribosomal RNA
Source: RNAcentral